CCCUGGGUGGCGCAAACAGUUAGCCACUUGGCUACUAACCAAAAGGCUGGUGGUUCAAAUCCACCCAGAGGAA
Molecule: transfer RNA, 73 nt
Filed under: Loxodonta africana (African savanna elephant)
Lineage: Eukaryota; Metazoa; Chordata; Mammalia; Proboscidea; Elephantidae
Rfam family: tRNA
About the family: Transfer RNA (tRNA) molecules are approximately 80 nucleotides in length. Their secondary structure includes four short double-helical elements and three loops (D, anti-codon, and T loops).
Source: Rfam by way of RNAcentral